RNAcentral lists this ribosomal RNA (441 nucleotides) under uncultured bacterium. RNAcentral describes it as "partial 16S ribosomal RNA". It matches the Rfam family "Bacterial small subunit ribosomal RNA", at positions 338 to 795 of the family's 1533-position model. The record is from RNAcentral.
CCUACGGGAGGCAGCAGUGGGGGAUAUUGCACAAUGGGGGGAACCCUGAUGCAGCGACGCCGCGUGGGUGAAGGAGCGUUUCGGCGCGUAAAGCCCUAUCGGCAGGGAAGAAGGAGGACGGUACCUGACUAAGAAGCCCCGGCUAACUACGUGCCAGCAGCCGCGGUAAUACGUAGUUGGCAAGCGUUAUCCGGAUUUAUUGGGUGUAAAGGGCGUGUAGGCGGGAAAGCAAGUCAGAUGUGAAAACUCAGGGCUCAACCCUGAGCCUGCAUUUGAAACUGUUUUUCUUGAGUGCUGGAGAGGCAAUCGGAAUUCCGUGUGUAGCGGUGAAAUGCAUAGAUAUCACGCAGAACUCCGAUUGCGAAGGCAGCUUACUAAGCCAUAACUGACACUGAAGCACGAAAGCGUGGGGAUCAAACAGGAUUAGAUACCCGAGUAGUC